AGUUACACGCGCCCGCGUUCCAGAAAAUAGCCUAGUACCUUCCUUCAACUGGCGGAACGUUGAACUCAGCAGGCGUGCCGCUGCCGUCAUAGUAGGAACAUAGAGAAAGAAAUUUCUUUCUCUAUGGUAGGAAACUCUCUAUCUGCCGUCGGUUCGCUCGGCUCCCGUCGCCUGCGUACCGUUUGUUUCGCUGGCGAAUCAUAGAGGGCGAACUACGGCGUCUGUUGCGCUCUGCACAUCGGUCCACAUUGCUCUACUCGCUCGAGCGGCCGGACGUUCUAGGUUUUCUCCGAAUAGGUUGCAGUUGCUGAUUGGUCAGUAUGGCUGGACCGACGCCAGUGCAGGUGCAUAUUGAGUACUGUGGUGGAUGAGGGUACGCCCCUCGCUUUCAGGAGCUAAGGAACCAAAUCCUUGUCAGAGUACCAACUGCCAACGUGACUGGCACAGUAGGACGCCAAACGUCCUUUGAAGUGACAAUAAAUAAUGUCCUGGUAUACUCUAAGCUCGUAAAGGGUAACUUUCCUGACUUUGAAGAGGUUGUCCAGCGAGUACUUGACGCCAGCCUUGGCAAGGAGGUGAAGCCUUGCGUGAAGCUUGGUGCGAGCGGCAAAUGCUCUUUGUUAUAGCACGGCACCUCAUUGGGUGCUCUCUGCGCAUUUGCUCUGCCAGUUGACCAUGCAGUUGGCCUUCCUGAACAAUAGCUGAAGGCUUUGGAAAGCGCAUUUAUGAUGGCUUGACCCCAAAUCUUGAAAGAGUCUUGCCUGAAGAACCAGCGUGUUCCUGCCCGGCGCUACUUGCUGUGUGAAAGCCACUCAUGUAUGGACCUUGUGGAAGCUUUCUCCAUAGCGGUUGCAACUGAUCGGCGAGAGCUGGGCCAUGGCUGGAGCGAAGCCAGUUAAAGUAGUCGUUGAGUAUUGUGGGGGAUGAGGAUACAGCCCUCGCUUCGAGGAACUGAAGAAGCAGAUCCUUGCGAAGCUGCCAAAUGCCACUGUGACUGGCACCGUAGGACGCAACACAUCCUUCGAAGUAGAAAUCAAUGGUGUCCAGGUAUUCUCUAAGCUCCAAAAGGGUGCCUUUCCUGACUUUGGAGAGGUUGUUGCUCGAGCUGUGGAUGCCAGCCAAGGGAAAGCUGUACAGGCUGUAACCGGUGUGCAGAAGUAGUUCAGAGGACGGCCCAUGGCUCGAAGAUCCCUGUCGGAACCUUUCAGACAUGUGUCGACUAUACACCCUUGUGCCUGCGGCCCGUUGUUCACCGUCCCUUCGCACUUGCUCUGCCAGUUGGCCAUGCAGUUGGCCUAACUGAACAAUAGCUGAAGGCCUUGGAAUGCGUAUGAAUGAUGGCUUGACCCCAAAUCUUGAAAAGGGUCUUGCUUGAAGAACCAGCGUGUUCCUGCCUGCUGCUACUUGCUCUGUGAAAGCCAUUCAUGUGUGGACUUCGUAGAAGUAAAUGAAUUUUUAAAAAAUUUGU
Long non-coding RNA from Dermacentor albipictus, 1468 nucleotides. RefSeq lists it as uncharacterized. The record is from RefSeq and is a predicted model, not a curated record. Lineage: Eukaryota; Metazoa; Arthropoda; Arachnida; Ixodida; Ixodidae.